UACAGAGGGUGCAAGCGUUAAUCGGAGUUACUGGGCGUAAAGGGCGCGUAGGCGGUUAUGUAAGUGAGAUGUGAAAUCCCUGGGCUUAACCUAGGAACUGCAUCUUAUACUGUAUAGCUGGAGUAUUGUAGAGGGUAGUGGAAUUUCCGGUGUAGCGGUGAAAUGCGUAGAGAUCGGAAGGAACACCAGUGGCGAAGGCGGCUACCUGGACAAAUACUGACGCUGAGGCGCGAAAGCGUGGGGAUCAAACAGG
RNAcentral lists this ribosomal RNA (253 nucleotides) under uncultured bacterium. RNAcentral's name for it is "partial 16S ribosomal RNA". It matches the Rfam family "Bacterial small subunit ribosomal RNA", at positions 524 to 776 of the family's 1533-position model. The record is from RNAcentral.